CCACACUAAAAUGCACCACAAACCCAAAAAAUGUAUUUACCAAAUAUAACGCUAACAUACUAUAUAUUUGAUAGGAUAGUGUAUAAUGGAUCUACACUUAUGGAUAAGAGAAUCUUGUAUCAAGCGAUGAUGACUGACAUUAGAGACUAGGUAGUCAAUUUUGUUGAAAACACUUCAAGAGCUUCCAAGGUGUGCUCGAUGCAUUGUUAACUAAUCCCACCUUGAAAGAUGAUUAGAUGAGUUGCUUUCAAUGAGGAGGUCCUUAAUGUUGAAAUCAAUGAAGAAUACUGAGGCAUGAUGCAUGAAGAAUAGCUUGUACUUGAACUUCAUCAGCCCAUCAAAAUUGAUGCUUUUUGAAAAGCAUCCAAUAAUGUGUCCCAACUCAUUUCGGAUCAAACCUCCAAUGCCCGAUAUCCCAGGGUUUUCUUUAGAAGCCCCAUCCACAUUGAGUAUCCAUGAGUUCAACCUCCACUUUAUUGGAUAGAGUUAUUUUGGAGCCAACCCAUUUUACAAAUGUGGAAAACAAAAUACAUAUAAGUGCGUCGAUCACAAACUUUGCUAAGUAAUUUAAAAUAGAGCUUAUAUUUUUU
This 590-nucleotide long non-coding RNA is filed under the name Lupinus angustifolius (narrow-leaved blue lupine). RNAcentral describes it as "long non-coding RNA (LANG_LNC002214)". The record is from RNAcentral. Lineage: Eukaryota; Viridiplantae; Streptophyta; Magnoliopsida; Fabales; Fabaceae.